UUAGGUUAAUUGACCUUAAUUGAUUAAAGGACAACACCCAAAGCCUGCAGAGCAGGGGAGUGAUGCCAGGGGGAAGCCAGCACAGAGGCUGAGACCGAAGCUGGAGUUACUGUGGAGCAAAAAGACUCUCAGCUGUGAAAAAGGAAGCUUGAAAGCCCUGAUGGUCUGUCAAGCUGAGGCUCUCAAGAACUUUGGUCCUGGAUCCAGUACACAGAGCAUGGUGUGUUACUCAGCCUACAGAGGGAAGUUCUUUAACGUCCUUAUGACUGACUCACAGAUUUCUGCUUAUACACAUUUUUACCAUUAAGAUAACAUUUCAAAACAGGCCAAAGCUGUGCUAGAAAAUGUCUUCACUUCAAAAUCAAAAUCUAAUUUUAAUGGAAAAUGAAUAUGUGAAAAACAUGGAAUAAAAUAUAGCCUUUCAAAGAACAGGUCUUAGUAGGUUUCCUAAUUAAAAUAUGAAGCAGAAUUUAAACAAAAGACUAUUCAUCAUUUCAAACUUUUCUUUUAUCACUACAUUUUUCACAGUUCCAGCAGUAAGCUGAACUGCAAGCUGUCAAAAUAAAAAAGUAACAUUGUGUACUAAUGAGAAACUGAUAUAAGGCUUGAUUUUAAUAACUUGAUACUUCCAUAUAAUUGUCUCAAAGUUGACAGAAGAUUUUAAUAUCUUUUUAUUGGAAUGCUUACAACUAAGAAAGAUGUAAUUGUUUGUGCCAGCCUCCACACCAAUGCCACUCAAUUAUCUUUCACUCUUAUGUUACUUACCAACUCUGGUGAUAUUUAUUCACUUUUGUAACUUGAGUUUAAACCAUUUAAAGUUUAAAACUGAGAUUAUAGAUAAGUUAAACAUAAUUAAAAACUUUGAAUUCCUUUUAUCAUUUUAUAUUCUAUGAAAAUAAUUUCUUCUAUAUGCAAAAGACCAUUCAUUGGUACUUGUUUGGAAAAUGAUUUUUUCUAUAAAUUGAGACACCAGACAGGUGACUGAUGUUUGACAAUUGAAGGUGGCUGCUUGUAAGUAAAAAUAACAGGUGAAGUUUUUUGCCAUCCUUGGAAUACUUUUGACUAAUAGAAGUUAAUCAAGAUGCAUUGUAAGUACUAAGAAUUAAAGGCUUGGCAAC
This is a long non-coding RNA of Alligator mississippiensis (American alligator), 1118 nucleotides long. RefSeq lists it as uncharacterized. NCBI's taxonomy places the organism in Eukaryota, Metazoa, Chordata, Crocodylia, Alligatoridae. The transcript has 3 exons. The record is from RefSeq and is a predicted model, not a curated record.